Molecule: ribosomal RNA, 305 nt
Filed under: uncultured bacterium
Lineage: Bacteria
Description: bacterial SSU rRNA
Rfam family: Bacterial small subunit ribosomal RNA
Source: RNAcentral
UUCCUACGGGGCGCAGCAGUGGGGAAUCUUCCGCAAUGGGCGAAAGCCUGACGGAGCAAUGCCGCGUGAGUGAAGAAGGCCUUCGGGUUGUAAAACUCUGUCCUUAUCGAAGAGAGGUGGGUAUGUGAAUAAUGUACUCAUAGGACGGUAGAUAAGGAGGAAGCCCCGGCUAACUACUUGCCAGCAGCCGCGGUAAUACGUAGGGGGCGAGCGUUGUCCGGAAUCACUGGGCGUAAGGGGCGCGUAGGCGGGGACGCAAGUCAGAUGUGAAAAUCACGGGCUCAACCUGUGGCCUGCAUUUGAAA